CCAUUGGUAUUCCGAAGGGCAUGCCUGUUUGAGUGUCAUGAAACAUCAAUCAUUCAUCUUGAUUGGAACUGGACGUUGCCUUUGGCUCGUCUCAAAGCUGUUAGUGCCGGUUGACGUGAUAAGUUUCGUCAUGGCCGGCGCUUCACCCCCAUCUUUUUAAGCUUGACCUCAAAUCAGGUAGGACUACCCGCUGAACUUAA
Molecule: unclassified non-coding RNA, 200 nt
Filed under: soil metagenome
Description: partial contains 5.8S ribosomal RNA, internal transcribed spacer 2, and large subunit ribosomal RNA
Source: RNAcentral